Molecule: ribosomal RNA, 256 nt
Filed under: uncultured prokaryote
Description: partial 16S ribosomal RNA
Rfam family: Bacterial small subunit ribosomal RNA
Source: RNAcentral
UACGUAGGGUGCGAGAGUUAAUCGGAAUUACUGGGCGUAAAGGGCGCGCAGGCGGUAUAUCAAGUCAGCUGUCAAAGACUGGGGCUCAACCCUGGUAUGCGGUUGAAACUGAUAUGCUGGAGUGCUGUAGAGGCAAGUGGAAUUCCCAGUGUAGCGGUGAAAUGCGUAGAUAUUGGGAAGAACACCGGUGGCGAAGGCGACUUGCUGGGCAGCAACUGACGCUGAGGCGCGAAAGCCAGGGGAGCAAACGGGAUUA